Molecule: ribosomal RNA, 379 nt
Filed under: uncultured bacterium
Lineage: Bacteria
Description: bacterial SSU rRNA
Rfam family: Bacterial small subunit ribosomal RNA
Source: RNAcentral
GACGAACGCUGGCGGCGUGCUUAACACAUGCAAGUCGAGCGGUAAGGCCCUUUUGGGGGUACACGAGCGGCGAACGGGUGAGUAACACGUGGGUGACCUGCCCUCAGCUCUGGGAUAAGCCUGGGAAACUGGGUCUAAUACUGGAUAUGACCUUUCCUCGCAUGGGGUUGGUGGAAAGUUUUUCGGCUGGGGAUGGCCCGCGGCCUAUCAGCUUGUUGGUGGGGUGAUGGCCUACCAAGGCGACGACGGGUAGCCGGCCUGAGAGGGCGACCGGCCACACUGGGACUGAGACACGGCCCAGACUCCUACGGGAGGCAGCAGUGGGGAAUAUUGCNCAAUGGGCGGAAGCCUGACGCAGCGACGCCGCGUGGGGAUGACG